This 29-nucleotide non-coding RNA is filed under the name Rattus norvegicus (Norway rat). The record is from RNAcentral. Lineage: Eukaryota; Metazoa; Chordata; Mammalia; Rodentia; Muridae.
UAGACAGCAUGUGCCUGAUAGUGGAGAUU